This 69-nucleotide transfer RNA is filed under the name Boodlea composita. RNAcentral describes it as "tRNA-Leu". The record is from RNAcentral. Lineage: Eukaryota; Viridiplantae; Chlorophyta; Ulvophyceae; Cladophorales; Boodleaceae.
GGGGGGGGGUUUUUUAAAUUAAUUGUAAUAAAAACCUUAAAAACAGAAACAAAACUUUUUUCCCCCCCC